Non-coding RNA from Cyanistes caeruleus (blue tit), 1281 nucleotides. The record is from RefSeq and is a predicted model, not a curated record. NCBI's taxonomy places the organism in Eukaryota, Metazoa, Chordata, Aves, Passeriformes, Paridae.
CCCCUCCUGGGGCUCCAGACCCUUCCACACAUGGGGUUUUCAUCAUUGGAAGCAGAAAAUAGAAUUUAUCCAUGAUAUUCCUUUUUUCCCCCCUUAACACUUGCAGAACAUCAACCGUGUGGUGUUUGUGGGCAACUUCCUUCGGAUCAACACCAUCUCCAUGAGGCUCCUGGCCUAUGCCCUGGACUACUGGUCAAAGGGACAAUUAAAAGCACUUUUCUUGGAACAUGAGGGUUACUUUGGCUCUGUCGGCGCUCUCCUGGGACUCCUGGACUCAGCCUGACCCCGUGCAGGAUCUCUGUUGGACCUAUGGAUUCAGGGCAUUCCCUGGGUCACUGAGCCCAUGGUUCGGGGGUCACUGAGCCCAUGUUUUGUGUGACAGCCGCCACUGAGCCUGUUCCACUGGGGUGGCCUGUGGGGACGGAGGUCUCUAAGAGCUGAAAUCCAUCUGGGAUUACAGUGCAGGUUUGUUCCAAAGGAUGUGAUUGGAAUACACUGGCUGGAUGUGGGGGUGUUCGGGAAGGUCUGUGGGGCAUUUCAGUCACGUGGAAUUGCCCUUUUUACUCUGUGUUUAAUGAUGUGACAAAGCAGAGCAGGGGCACUCUGCUCCUUCCAUUGGGAUCCCUUGGAGUGCUGAGUGCCCAGGUCAGUUCUGUGUUUGUAAUCAGAGGUUCUCCAUGUGCUGGAAAAUGGUCUGGGAAGGGGGAAGAGCAUCAGCACAGCCCUGGUGUGUGUAACUAACUCCAUAUGGCCCACUGGAUCCACACUGGGACACAGCUGUGCUGGCAGCCAGGCUUUAUCCCUGUCCCACAUGUCCUUAUCUCCGUCCUAGGGACGGCAGGUCCAGCACAGCACGGAUCUGUGCCUCAGGGUCAGUCCCAUUUCAGCCUCCAGCACUCCUGCACAGUCGUCAGCACCCUUGGGGAUGCUGUCAGGGGUGUCAGUCAGCCUCCAGCCUUGAGAUCUAAAUUUGAGGAUGGAAUAAGGAUAUUCAUUGUUUGUCUGGGGUUUUCUCUCUGUUAGCAAACUCCACCAAAGAGAGACUUCCUUCAGUCACACUUGGAUCUCUGUAAUAUUCCAUGUUACAUUUAUUAAUGGCUACACUCCUGUCAUUUUGGGGGAGUUCUCCCCUUGCCAUGCAUGCUGUACUCCCUUUUCCCUCUGCAUGCUGCCACACAGCCUGCGAGCAGGAUACUGCUGUGGAGCCCCUGUGGAAGUUGCACCCUUGGGAUGGGGUUUGGAGUGGAUCCUGCACGCUCAAUAAACGCUCUGUAAAAGCAA